CAGUCGCCGCGGUAAUACGAGGGGGGCGAGCGUUGUUCGGAAUUAUUGGGCGUAAAGGGCGCGUAGGCGGUUUGACAAGUCUGAUGUGAAAUCUCUGGGCUCAACCCAGAGUCUGCAUCGGAAACUGUCGAGCUUGAGUAUGGGAGAGGUGAGUGGAAUUUCCGGUGUAGCGGUGAAAUGCGUAGAUGUCGGAAGGAACACCUGUGGCGAAAGCGGCUCACUGGACCAUUACUGACGCUGAGGCGCGAAAGCUAGGGGAGCAAACAGGAUUAGAGACCCCAGUAGUCCCUGUCUCUUAUAC
RNAcentral lists this ribosomal RNA (301 nucleotides) under uncultured bacterium. RNAcentral's name for it is "partial 16S ribosomal RNA". It matches the Rfam family "Bacterial small subunit ribosomal RNA", at positions 509 to 807 of the family's 1533-position model. The record is from RNAcentral.